GACAGAGGGUGCAAGCGUUGUUCGGAAUUACUGGGCGUAAAGGGCGUGUAGGCGGUGGAGUGUGUCUGGUGUGAAAUCCCUCGGCUUAACCGGGGAACUGCAUUGGAAACUACUUUGCUAGAGUGCGAGAGAGGAAGGCGGAAUUCCUGGUGUAGAGGUGAAAUUCGUAGAUACCAGGAGGAACACCGGAGGCGAAGGCGGCCUUCUGGCUCGUAACUGACGCUGAGACGCGAAAGCGUGGGUAGCAAACAGG
RNAcentral lists this ribosomal RNA (253 nucleotides) under uncultured bacterium. Its description in RNAcentral is "partial 16S ribosomal RNA". It matches the Rfam family "Bacterial small subunit ribosomal RNA", at positions 524 to 776 of the family's 1533-position model. The record is from RNAcentral.